GAGACUUUUGUACUGGAGCUAACUCUGGUCUGGUUUCUCAUAGAUAUCCACCUGCUGCUUCUGUUGAAAUGGCACAAACUUAAGGGCUUUGAUUCAUCCUCGUCUGGGCUUAAGAGAACCAGUG
This 124-nucleotide long non-coding RNA is filed under the name Monodelphis domestica (gray short-tailed opossum). RNAcentral describes it as "lncRNA (ENSMODG00000047231.1)". Lineage: Eukaryota; Metazoa; Chordata; Mammalia; Didelphimorphia; Didelphidae. The record is from RNAcentral.